CCUACGGGAGGCAGCAGUGGGGAAUAUUGGGCAAUGGAGGAAACUCUGACCCAGCGACGCCGCGUGCGGGAUGAAGGCCUUCGGGUUGUAAACCGCUUUCAGUAGGGAAGAAGCGAAAGUGACGGUACCUACAGAAGAAGCACCGGCUAACUAUGUGCCAGCAGCCGCGGUAAUACAUAGGGUGCAAGCGUUGUCCGGAAUUAUUGGGCGUAAAGAGCUCGUAGGUGGUUCGUCACGUCGGAUGUGAAAAUCUGGGGCUCAACCCCAGACCUGCAUUCGAUACGGGCGAUCUAGAGUGUGGUAGGGGAGACUGGAAUUCCUGGUGUAGCGGUGGAAUGCGCAGAUAUCAGGAGGAACACCAAUGGCGAAGGCAGGUCUCUGGGCCAUUACUGACACUGAGGAGCGAAAGCGUGGGGAGCGAACAGGAUUAGAUACCCUGGUAGUCCACGCCGUAAACGGUGGGCACUAGUUGUGGGAACCUUCCACGGUUUCUGCGACGCNGCACGCAUAGUCGCCCGCCGUCGGGAGUACGAGCGCGAGAGUAAACGUACGUAAGUAGUAGUUAGAGUGUUGAGACGNGCGACGGACGACGACGAGGAGGAGG
This 604-nucleotide ribosomal RNA is filed under the name uncultured bacterium. RNAcentral's name for it is "bacterial SSU rRNA". The stretch from base 1 to 520 matches the Rfam family "Bacterial small subunit ribosomal RNA", at positions 338 to 873 of the family's 1533-position model. The record is from RNAcentral.